This 318-nucleotide ribosomal RNA is filed under the name Triticum aestivum (bread wheat). RNAcentral's name for it is "partial small subunit ribosomal RNA". Lineage: Eukaryota; Viridiplantae; Streptophyta; Magnoliopsida; Poales; Poaceae. The record is from RNAcentral.
AUGAUCUUUGUAUUUUGUUGCAAAUAUGGCACUUGUGUGUGUACCAUGGCUUCAUUGCAUAUUGACUUUAACAAAUAUGAAAGAGAGAUGUUUCUAACCUGCUACGCAGCAAGGAUUGCAAUGCUUUGCGCUAACAAUUCCUGUUUGAAGGUCAACACGGACUAUAUCCUGGAAACUGAAAAUUUCAUGGAAAAGAUCUAUUAUGAUGCUAUAGAAGUUGAAGAUAAGUAUCUUCUCCCCUUCUGCCUUGGGUCUGAAAGCAAGGGCAUGUACUAUAAAAUGUAUGAAAUAUAUUAUUUUAUCUUCUACAUUUGUUGA